UGGGGAAUAUUGCACAAUGGGCGCAAGCCUGAUGCAGCCAUGCCGCGUGUGUGAAGAAGGCCUUCGGGUUGUAAAGCACUUUCAGCGAGGAGGAAGGUGGUGAGCUUAAUACGCUCAUCAAUUGACGUUACUCGCAGAAGAAGCACCGGCUAACUCCGUGCCAGCAGCCGCGGUAAUACGGAGGGUGCAAGCGUUAAUCGGAAUUACUGGGCGUAAAGCGCACGCAGGCGGUUUGUUAAGUCAGNUGUGAAAUCCCCCGGGCUCAACCUGGGAACUGCAUUUGAAACUGGCAAGCUAGAGUCUCGUAGAGGGGGGUAGAAUUUCCAGGUGUAGCGGUGAAAUGCGUAGAGAUCUGGAGGAAUACCGGUGGCGAAGGCGGCCCCCUGGANGAAGACUGACGCUCAGGUGCGAAAGCGUGGGG
Molecule: ribosomal RNA, 421 nt
Filed under: uncultured bacterium
Lineage: Bacteria
Description: partial 16S ribosomal RNA
Rfam family: Bacterial small subunit ribosomal RNA
Source: RNAcentral